CUAUAUUUGUAAGAUUUAUUAAUUUGUUGCCAGAGAUUGAGGUUACUCAUUCUCAUUACUUAUAUUAUUCCAUUGUGUGAAAAUUUUACUGUAAAGAAAGAGACAUUUGAGUUAUUUUUAGAUUUGAUUCUUACAAUGCUGCUGUGAAUAUGGCUUUUCUUGAAAAUAUACAUGUAUUUUUGUUGUUUAUAACUAGGAAUGAAAUUGUAGGGUCAUAACAUAUGCCAAACAAAGUAGUUGUACAUAUUUAUAUCCCAGCAGGAAUAUUAAUGCUUGGUACUGUCUUUUCAUUUUAGCCAUAUGGUGGAUGUAUAAUGGUAUUGUGUGUGUUUUAUUUGCAUUUCACUGAGUAAUUAAGUUGAUCACUUUUUAUUUAGAUUUGUUUUUUGAAUACCUAUUUUGCCACGUUUAUAAUUAGUUUCUGUCCUUUUUUUUUUUCUUGAUUUGUAGAGUUGUUUAUAUGUUUUGCUCUGAGGACAUUUUUAGUCCAUCUAUUACUUUACUCCCAGCUUUUCUAUCUCCUCUGAUCUUUAUUGACCUCUUAACUGCCUGUAAGUUUAGGAUUAGGCUUUGGAGUGGUUUUAUUUUACUUUCUAGGUAAUUGUAUCUUGUUAUCUCCUUGCAAGGAGCACUUCAAUUUCCCAAACCUGUUGUGAUCUCCCAGCUUGAACAAGGUCAGGAGUCGUAUAUUCUUGAUCCACAGGGAGCUGGGUUAAGAGUGGCCCCAAGAAGCUCCUGCAUAGAUCCAGGUAUUAGAACCAAGAUUGGGGAUGAAAAAUCAGCUGAAAAACUUGAAAAACUAAUGUUUGAAAAUAAGGAGGCACACUGGGUCAUGAAAAGUACCCAGAAGAAUCAGUGUGGAAAAUCCAUAGGAGAAACACUGAAAAAUAAGAAUGAAAAUUCUAGGAAGGUGAAUGACAAAGCUAAGAAAAUUAUGAUGGAUGUGUCAGAACUAAAAGAAGACUAUUAAUACCUCUCCCCGGUGCUGGAUCCUGGGCAUGUGUAUGGGUCAGCUUUCAUCAGCUGAGACCAAAAUACCUGACAGGAGGAGGAAAGGUUUAUUUGGCUUGGUUUCACUCCAUGGACAGAGAGCUUCAUUGCUCUGAGCUUGAGGUAAGGCAGAUUAUCAUGGCAGAACGGGCA
Molecule: long non-coding RNA, 1143 nt
Filed under: Ictidomys tridecemlineatus (thirteen-lined ground squirrel)
Lineage: Eukaryota; Metazoa; Chordata; Mammalia; Rodentia; Sciuridae
Description: lncRNA (ENSSTOG00000029877.1)
Source: RNAcentral